Raphanus sativus (radish) is the source of this 1006-nucleotide long non-coding RNA. RefSeq lists it as uncharacterized. The record is from RefSeq and is a predicted model, not a curated record. Lineage: Eukaryota; Viridiplantae; Streptophyta; Magnoliopsida; Brassicales; Brassicaceae. The transcript has 6 exons.
CGAACUAUAAACAUCAUCCAAGCAGCAGAGGAAAGGCGCUGGCACGCAGUUUACAAAAAAAAAAAAAAAAGAGGAGAGGCGAAAAGGUUUCUCCCGAGAAAGUACAACUCUCCUUUUGAUUUGAGAUUUUCAAGUUUUCAUCAAUAUCUCGUCGAUUUAAAAAAUCAUGGACUUGAUACAAGUUCGUUUUAUCUUCGGUUUUAUCGGGAGUGUUAUUUCCAUUGGUUGCAUGGCUGUUCAUGUGCCUCAUUUCGUAGCUAUGUACAAAAACAAGUCACUGGGUAGAGCCUUACCACCCCCAUAUACUUGUGCAAAUAUUUCUGCACAAUAUGUUGUGGUUUUUUUAUGGCAUUGUUAACAAGGAUAGUAGUUGUCUUGUUUCAACCACUUGUGCCAUCUAUUUGGGAUUGUCAGCUAUCUACUUAUUUGUCUUCUUCAUCUCAUGCGGCCACAUGAAAGACCUAUGUUGGUUCAUUCUGUCAUGUCUUGUGGUUGGGAUCAUUGGUGUCGUAGGGAUUGUUCUCAUCACGCUUUUCUCAAUUGAAAGUUCCUCCGCUAAACUAAUAUUUGUUGGUGUUAUUGGCGAUAUCUCCUUCAUAUCUGUUAUGCUGAAAGUUCCCUUACUUUCACUGGAAAUUGCAGUGGUGACAAAAAGCGUUACUCAUAUAUCCUCUCGGAUAUCUAUCCUAACUGUCAUCAACGGUUUGGUUUGGGGUGCUUACUCUUGCAUCUACAUAUUCGAUCCCUACCUUUUUGCAAGUACUUUUUAUUUUAUUCAUACAUUGAUUUUUUUAUUCAUUAACAACAUUUUGUUCUUUUUGGUGUAUAUAGAUAUGUAGUGUUCUUCAAUUGUUGGUGUCUACUGCCAAGUUGAUAGUCUAUGCUCGCUACUACAAAUCUACUCCACUGGUGAAAUUAGAUUAGAUUUAAUGUGCUUUUCUUCUACUCACUUUAUUGUGACAUGUGCUUUUCUUCUACUCACUUUAUUGUGACUUUUAGUUAUUCC